GAUGAAGAACGUAGCAAAAUGCGAUAAGUAAUGAGAAUUGCAGAAUUCAGUGAAUCAUCGAAUCUUUGAACGCACAUUGCGCCCGCCAGUAUUCUGGCGGGCAUGCCUGUUCGAGCGUCAUUUCAACCCUCAAGCACAGCUUGGUGUUGGGACUCGCGUUAAUUCGCGUUCCCCAAAUUGAUUGGCGGUCACGUCGAGCUUCCAUAGCGUAGUAGUAAAACCCUCGUUACUGGUAAUCGUCGCGGCCACGCCGUUAAACCCCAACUUCUGAAUGUUGACCUCGGAUCAGGUAGGAAUACCCGCUGAACUUAAGCAUAUCAAUAAGCGGAGGA
Molecule: unclassified non-coding RNA, 332 nt
Filed under: soil metagenome
Description: partial contains 5.8S ribosomal RNA, internal transcribed spacer 2, and large subunit ribosomal RNA
Rfam family: 5.8S ribosomal RNA (bases 1-120)
Source: RNAcentral